AUUGAACGCUGGCGGCAGGCUUAACACAUGCAAGUCGAACGAGUGGCGGACGGGUGAGUCAUGCUUGGGAAUCUCGCUUAUGGAGGGGGAUAACUUCGGGACACUGUAGCUAAUACCGCGUACCAUAAGUUGAGCCCAAGUGGGAUUAGGUAGUUGGUGAGGUAAAGGCACACCAAGCCGACGAUCUCUAGCUAGUCUGAGAGGAAGACCAGCCACAUGGGGACUGAGACACGGCCCAGCCUCCUACGGGAGGCAGCAGUGGGGAAUAUUGCGCAAUGGGGGCAACCUGACGCAGCCAUGCCGCGUGAAUGAAGAAGGCUUUCGGGUUGUAAAGUUCUUUCGGUAGCGAGGCGUUAACUACAGAAGAAGCACCGGCUAACUCCGUGCCAGCAGCCGCGGUAAUUC
RNAcentral lists this ribosomal RNA (405 nucleotides) under uncultured bacterium. RNAcentral's name for it is "partial 16S ribosomal RNA". It matches the Rfam family "Bacterial small subunit ribosomal RNA", at positions 30 to 526 of the family's 1533-position model. The record is from RNAcentral.